CUACGUGCCAGCAGCCGCGGUAAUACGGAGGGUGCGAGCGUUAAUCGGAAUAACUGGGCGUAAAGGGCACGCAGGCGGUGACUUAAGUGAGGUGUGAAAGCCCCGGGCUUAACCUGGGAAUUGCAUUUCAUACUGGGUCGCUAGAGUACUUUAGGGAGGGGUAGAAUUCCACGUGUAGCGGUGAAAUGCGUAGAGAUGUGGAGGAAUACCGAAGGCGAAGGCAGCCCCUUGGGGAUGUACUGACGCUCAUGUGCGAAAGCGUGGGGAGCAAACAGGAUUAGAUACCCUGGUAGUCCACGCUGUAAACGAUGUCGAUUUGGGGGUUGAACUUUAAGUUUGGCGCCCGUAGCUAACGUGAUAAAUCGACCGCCUGGGGAGUACGGCCGCAAGGUUAAAACUCAAAUGAAUUGACGGGGGCCCGCACAAGCGGUGGAGCAUGUGGUUUAAUUCGAUGCAACGCGAAGAACCUUACCUACUCUUGACAUCCAGAGAACAUUC
This 498-nucleotide ribosomal RNA is filed under the name uncultured bacterium. RNAcentral describes it as "bacterial SSU rRNA". It matches the Rfam family "Bacterial small subunit ribosomal RNA", at positions 501 to 1000 of the family's 1533-position model. The record is from RNAcentral.